Molecule: ribosomal RNA, 253 nt
Filed under: uncultured bacterium
Lineage: Bacteria
Description: partial 16S ribosomal RNA
Rfam family: Bacterial small subunit ribosomal RNA
Source: RNAcentral
UACGGAGGGUGCAAGCGUUGCUCGGAAUUCUUGGGCGUAAAGGGUCGGUAGGUGGUCUCAUUUGUCUGGGGUGAAAGCCUUGAGCUUAACUCAAGAAGUGCCCCAGAAACGGUGAGACUAGAGUCUUGGAGAGGGUCGUGGAAUUCCCGGUGUAGCGGUGAAAUGCGUAGAGAUCGGGAGGAACACCAGAGGCGAAGGCGGCGACCUGGACAAGUACUGACACUCAACUACGAAAGCGUGGGGAGCAAACAGG